GCCCUUCGGGGUACACGAGCGGCGGACGGAUGAGGGGCGUAGGAACGUACCCCAAACUGAGGGAUAAGCACCAGAAAUGGUGUCUAAUACCGCAUGUGCUCUUCGGAGUAAAGCUACGGCGGUUUGGGAACGGCCUGCGCAAGAUUAGCUUGUUGGUGAGGUAAAAGCUCACCAAGGCGACGAUCUUUAGCUGGUCUGAGAGGAUGACCAGCCAGACUGGAACUGAGAACGGUCCAGACUCCUACGGGAGGCAGCAGUAGGGAAUUUUCCACAAUGGGCGCAAGCCUGAUGGAGCAACGCCGCGUGCAGGAUGAAGGCCUUCGGGUUGUAAACUGCUUUUCUCUGUGACGAUUUUGACGGUAGCAGAGGAAUAAGGGUCUGCUAUCUACGUGCCAGCAGCCGCGGUCAUACGUAGGACCCAAGCGUUAUCCGGAAUUACUGGGCGUAAAGAGUUGCGUAGGUGGCAGAGUAAGUCUGUAGUGAAAGCGUGUGGCUCAACCACAUACACAUUAUGGAAACUACUCAGCUAGAGGAUGAGAGAGGUUAUUGGAAUUCCCAGUGUAGGAGUGAAAUCCGUAGAUAUUGGGAGGAACACCGAUGGCGUAGGCAGAUAACUGGCUCAUUCCUGACACUAAGGCACGAAAGCGUGGGUAGCAAACGGGAUUAGAUACCCCGGUAGUCCACGCUGUAUUCUAUGGAUGCUAGCUGUAUUCGGUAUCGACCCCGGAUGUAGCGAAGCUAACGCGUUAAGCAUCCCGCCUGUGGAGUACGGUCGCAAGACUAAAAACAUAAAGGAAUUGACGGGGACCCGCACAAGCGGUGGAGCGUGUUGUUUAAUUCGAUGGUAAACGAAGAACCUUACCCAGGUUUGACAUCCUUGGAAAUUUCUGCGAAAGCACGAGAAAGUGCUUUAUUGAGCCAAGUGACAGGUGAUGCAUGGCCGUCGUCAGCUCGUGUCGUGAGAUGUUUGGUUAAGUCCAUCAACGAGCGCAACCCUUAUAGUUAGUUGUAUUUUUCUAGCUAGACUGCCCUGGUAACAGGCAGGAAAGAAGGGAUGAUGUCAAGUCAGUAUUUCCCUUAUAUCUGGGGGCUACAACCCC
Molecule: ribosomal RNA, 1100 nt
Filed under: uncultured bacterium
Lineage: Bacteria
Description: bacterial SSU rRNA
Rfam family: Bacterial small subunit ribosomal RNA
Source: RNAcentral